CCUACGGGAGGCAGCAGUGGGGAAUCUUGCGCAAUGGGCGAAAGCCUGACGCAGCCAUGCCGCGUGAAUGAUGAAGGUCUUAGGAUUGUAAAAUUCUUUCAGUAGGGACGAUAAUGACGGUACCUACAGAAGAAGCCCCGGCUAACUUCGUGCCAGCAGCCGCGGUAAUACGAAGGGGGCUAGCGUUGCUCGGAAUUACUGGGCGUAAAGGGAGCGUAGGCGGGUUAUCAAGUUGGAGGUGAAAGCCCAGGGCUCAACCUUGGAAUUGCCUUCAAAACUGAUAGCCUAGAGUAUGAUAGAGGUAUGUGGAACUCCGAGUGUAGAGGUGAAAUUCGUAGAUAUUCGGAAGAACACCAGUGGCGAAGGCGACAUACUGGGUCAUGGCUGACACUGAGGCUCGAAAGCGUGGGGAGCAAACAGGAUUAGAUACCCUGGUAGUCCACGCUGUAAACGAUGAUUGCUAGUUGUCGGACGGCAUGCCGUUCGGUGACGCAGCUACGACAUAGACAUCCGCCGCGGGAGGUACGGUCGCGAAGAAUUAAAACGUUAAAAGGUAAAGUUAGACGGCGUGAGACGUGCCGAACGGACGACGACGAGGGAGGUAGG
This 606-nucleotide ribosomal RNA is filed under the name uncultured bacterium. RNAcentral's name for it is "bacterial SSU rRNA". The stretch from base 1 to 515 matches the Rfam family "Bacterial small subunit ribosomal RNA", at positions 338 to 873 of the family's 1533-position model. The record is from RNAcentral.